This is a long non-coding RNA of Neofelis nebulosa (Clouded leopard), 1675 nucleotides long. RefSeq lists it as uncharacterized. The transcript is spliced from 6 exons. The record is from RefSeq and is a predicted model, not a curated record. NCBI's taxonomy places the organism in Eukaryota, Metazoa, Chordata, Mammalia, Carnivora, Felidae.
AUGGUUAUUCUCAGGCUCUCCUUCUACUACAAACUUGGAGCAGAGGCCUUUGAGCUAAUUAAUUACAUUCUGUAUAUCUGAACCAGCUAGCAGAGCUCCUCGCUGACACUUGGAUACAUCUGGGCCUGAUAACAAUUGCAAAUACUCAGGGCACACUUUAGGAAAAAAAAAAAAAAAAAAAGGCUUAUGUUACAAUGUGCAACAGCACGUUUUACAGUCCUCUGAUCGGUCAGAUAAAUAAAACAGCUCGAGUCCAGGGCUUCGUGGGGGGAAACGUACUUGGUAACAUUUCACCUGGAGCAGAAAAAUUUCCCCACUGACAAGGGAGCAGUCUGACCCGAAGAAAAGGUUCAGUUCCUCCGAGGGACAGUUUUGGAGAUUUGGGUCCGACGUGGGAGCGUAGAAGAGAAUUUACAAGAAGCUCCUUCUGCGCAUCCAUCCGAGGAGCAGGUGUAGACAUGAAGAGACUGUGCGUUCCUCGGCCGCGUUCAGGGAAGCAAAUAAACACGGAUUUUCUUGAGGGAAAUGAAUGGACCCAGAGAUCAUGCCUUACUGAAUCCCCGACUCACUCGCUUCGAAGGCCAUCUGUCCUUGAGACAAAAAGACCACUUUUUGAAAAAGAUGCCGUUGUUGGUGUGCGAAUCCUGGAAGGAGCCAAGAUUUGGGAAAAUUGUCUCUGCCACCUUCUGAGCUACUCUUCAUAUCAAGUAACACCCAACUCAUGGGAUUGGGACACGUUUUGUGCUCGAAUGAACGACAUCAUAAUAACGGACGACGGCGACUCUUAGCCCUCCGUCCACCUCUUCACGUAGCGUCCGUAUUUUCUAAGCCUUAUUUUGAAGGAGGUUUAAUUUCUACAGAACAGUACCAAGCAGAGAGAACUGUGGAUCUUCACUCACAAGAAAGUCAAAUAACAACCAAACUGCUUUAUUGAGACCUAUCCUGUUUGAGGCACUGUUAUGUUUAGUAUUAAGAAGGUCUAAGUUUUCUCAUCUUUAAAUGGGAAAUAUGAAACUCAAAGAAGUUAACAGCCACAUGCCCAAAGUCAAUCAGUCAGUAGGUCAAAAAUACUGAUUGAGAGCUGAGAAUUUGCCCCAAAUGUUUUCACUAAAAGUGCGUGAUCGAGUGACACGAAGACAAAUAAUUUGACUAUGCUACAUGAUUGGCUAUUUUAAUUGCUAAGCAGAUACAUUGUGCCUUAUGAACACAGCCAUUCAUUGCAAGGUGAGUUGAUUAAUGUAAAUGCUUCAGAAACCCAAACAUUUCCAGUUUCCUUCCUUCUUUCAUCCUAAACCUCCUUUUGCCCCUUUAUUUAUUAGCCAAAGCUCUAGAGAGUAAGGUCAUUUAUUCAAAUAUUUUGAAUAUUUUGUAUUCAGCCUCUUAUAUUAAAUAAUUAUUCUUACUUCUGAAAUUAUUUUGUUUUUGUCGAAAGCAAUUUAGCAUUAUUAAUCAAGAGACUUAAAACUCCCCAUUCCCCUUGGCCAAGUAAUUACACUUCUAGGUGUCUCUCUUAAGGAAUGAUCUAAAAUACAGAUAGAAUGGGGGCACCUGGAUGGCUCAGUCAUUUCAGCAUCCAACUUUGGCCAAGGUCAUGAUCUCUCAGUUCUCGUGUUGAGCUCUGGGCUGACAGGUCAGAGCCUGGAGCCUGCUUUGGAUUCUGUGUUUUCCUCUCUCA